AGCCCUGAGGUGGAUUACCAU
Molecule: transfer RNA, 21 nt
Filed under: Callosciurus caniceps concolor
Lineage: Eukaryota; Metazoa; Chordata; Mammalia; Rodentia; Sciuridae
Description: partial tRNA-Cys
Source: RNAcentral